RNAcentral lists this ribosomal RNA (253 nucleotides) under uncultured bacterium. RNAcentral's name for it is "partial 16S ribosomal RNA". It matches the Rfam family "Bacterial small subunit ribosomal RNA", at positions 524 to 776 of the family's 1533-position model. The record is from RNAcentral.
UACGAAGGGGGCUAGCGUUGCUCGGAAUCACUGGGCGUAAAGCGCACGUAGGCGGCUUUUUAAGUCAGAGGUGAAAUCCUGGAGCUCAACUCCAGAACUGCCUUUGAUACUGGAGAGCUUGAGUCCGGGAGAGGUGUGUGGAACUCCGAGUGUAGAGGUGAAAUUCGUAGAUAUUCGGAAGAACACCAGUGGCGAAGGCGACACACUGGCCCGUUACUGACGCUGAGGCGCGAAAGCGUGGGGAGCAAACAGG